GUUGAGGUAGCCAAGCUAGGUAUGGCGCGGGUUUGCUAAACCCGUGUUCCUUGCGGGACUCGAGGGUUCAAAUCCCUCCCUCAGCG
This 86-nucleotide transfer RNA is filed under the name Methanomicrobiaceae archaeon. RNAcentral describes it as "tRNA-Ser". It matches the Rfam family "tRNA". Rfam says of the family: Transfer RNA (tRNA) molecules are approximately 80 nucleotides in length. Their secondary structure includes four short double-helical elements and three loops (D, anti-codon, and T loops). Lineage: Archaea; Methanobacteriati; Methanobacteriota; Methanomicrobia; Methanomicrobiales; Methanomicrobiaceae. The record is from RNAcentral.